This 253-nucleotide ribosomal RNA is filed under the name uncultured bacterium. RNAcentral describes it as "partial 16S ribosomal RNA". It matches the Rfam family "Bacterial small subunit ribosomal RNA", at positions 524 to 776 of the family's 1533-position model. The record is from RNAcentral.
UACAGAGGGGGCAAGCGUUGUUCGGAAUUACUGGGCGUAAAGGGCGCGUAGGCGGCCUUCUAAGUCGAACGUGAAAUCCCUGGGCUCAACCCAGGAACUGCGUCCGAUACUGGGAGGCUUGAAUCCGGGAGAGGGAUGCGGAAUUCCAGGUGUAGCGGUGAAAUGCGUAGAUAUCUGGAGGAACACCGGUGGCGAAGGCGGGUCUCUGGGCAGUAACUGACGCUGAGGAGCGAAAGCGUGGGGAGCGAACAGG